Molecule: ribosomal RNA, 253 nt
Filed under: uncultured bacterium
Lineage: Bacteria
Description: partial 16S ribosomal RNA
Rfam family: Bacterial small subunit ribosomal RNA
Source: RNAcentral
UACGGAGGGUGCAAGCGUUAAUCGGAAUUACUGGGCGUAAAGCGCACGCAGGUGGCUGAGACAGUCGAUUGUGAAAGCCCUGGGCUUAACCUGGGAAUUGCAGUCGAAACUACUCGGCUAGAGUAUGGGAGAGGGUAGUGGAAUUCCCGGUGUAGCGGUGAAAUGCGUAGAUAUCGGGAGGAACAUCAGUGGCGAAGGCGGCUACCUGGCCCAAUACUGACGCUCAGGUGCGACAGCGUGGGGAGCAAACAGG